RNAcentral lists this ribosomal RNA (505 nucleotides) under uncultured bacterium. RNAcentral describes it as "bacterial SSU rRNA". It matches the Rfam family "Bacterial small subunit ribosomal RNA", at positions 34 to 518 of the family's 1533-position model. The record is from RNAcentral.
CGCUGGCGGCGUGCUUAACACAUGCAAGUCGAACGCGAAAGGGACUUCGGUCCUGAGUAAAGUGGCGCACGGGUGAGUAACGCGUAGAUAACCUGUCUUCAUGUCUGGAAUAAUACGCCGAAAGGGGUACUAAUACCGGAUAUUCUUGCUUUUCAUAAGUUAUGCAAGCAAAGGUGGCCUCUGCAUAUGCUAUUGCAUGAAGAGGGGUCUGCGUACCAUUAGCUAGUAGGUGGGGUAAUGGCCUACCUAGGCGACGAUGGUUAGCGGGUCUGAGAGGAUGAUCCGCCACACUGGCACUGGAACACGGGCCAGACUCCUACGGGAGGCAGCAGUGAGGAAUAUUGCGCAAUGGGGGAAACCCUGACGCAGCGACGCCGCGUGAGUGAGGAAAGGCCUUCGGGUCGUAAAGCUCUGUCAAGAGGAAAGAAGUGUACAAUGGCUAAUACCUGUUGUAUUUGACGGUACCUCUAAAGGAAGCACUGGCUAACUCCGUGCCAGCCGCUGC